AGGAUAAUAGUUAAAUAUAACAUUUGAUUUGCAUUCAAAAAGUAAUGAAUAAAAUUAAUACUUCAUUUUAUCUUA
Molecule: transfer RNA, 75 nt
Filed under: Allacta transversa
Lineage: Eukaryota; Metazoa; Arthropoda; Insecta; Blattodea; Pseudophyllodromiidae
Description: tRNA-Ala
Source: RNAcentral